Molecule: unclassified non-coding RNA, 244 nt
Filed under: plant metagenome
Description: partial contains small subunit ribosomal RNA, internal transcribed spacer 1, and 5.8S ribosomal RNA
Source: RNAcentral
UCUCCGUUGGUGAACCAGCGGAGGGAUCAUUACCGAGUUUACAACUCCCAAACCCAAUGUAGACCAUACCAAACUGUUGCCUCGGCGGGGUCACGCCCCGGGUGCGUCGCAGCCCCGGAACCAGGCGCCCGCCGGAGGGACCAACCAAACUCUUUCUGUAGUCCCCUCGCGGACGUUAUUUUUACAGCUCUGAGCAAAAAUUCAAAAUGAAUCAAAACUUUCAACAACGGAUCUCUUGGUUCUG